UGCAAAUCAAUAUAAAUUGAAUUAAAUUUUAUUUAUUAAAUUAUUAAAUUUUAUUAAAUUAUUUUAUUAAAAAUAAUUAUAGAAGUUAUUUUGUUUUAGUAAUUUUUAAUGAAAAAAUAAAUUUUAUAAUAGUUAAUUUGUAUUGUGAAAGAUAAUUGAAAUAUUUUGAAAAAUUUUUAUUUUUAAAGAAAAAUUUAUUUUUUGUACCUUGUGUAUCAGGGUUUAUUAAAUAAUUAAUAAAUAUUUAUUUAUUUCGAUUUUAUAAGAGUUAAUAAUUUAUGAAAGUUAAUGUAUUAAGAUUAUUUUUAAUAGAUUAUUAGAAAUGAAAUGUUAUUCGUUUAUAGAGGUAUCUAGUUUUUUUAGAAAUAAAUUUAAUUUACAAAUUUUUAAUUUUUUAUUUUUUUUGAAUAAUAAAAAAAUUUAAAAACUUGAAUAUUCAAUGGGAUAAGCUUUUGAAUAAAUUUUUAUAAAUUAUUAAAUAAUUUUUUAAAAUUAUAUGCUUAGGAUUAGCAAUUAUUAAUGAAUUUGUUUUAAAUUAUUUAUUAUAAUUAUUGUAUUAUUUAUUAGAUUUUAAUUUUAUAUAAAAAAUUUUUAUUUAAUUAAAUUUGAAAAUUUAUAAUGAUAAAAUUAGUAUAUAAGUUUUGUUUUAAUAAUUAUUUUAAGAUAAGUUUAUAUAAAGAACUCGGCAAAUAUUAUACUCGCCUGUUUAACAAAAACAUGUCUUUUUGAGUUAUUUUUAAAGUCUAACCUGCCCAAUGAACAAUUUUUUAAUGGCCGCAGUAUUCUGACUGUGCAAAGGUAGCAUAAUCAUUAGUCUUUUAAUUGAAGGCUUGUAUGAAUGGUUGGACGAAGUAUAAACUGUUUCAUAUAAAUUUAUUAUAGAAUUUUAUAUUUUAGUUAAAAAGCUACAAUUUUUUUAAAAGACGAGAAGACCCUAUAAAUCUUUAUAUUUUAUAUUAUUUGAAUUUUUUAGAUUUUGUUUAUUUUAAUAAUAUAAAAUAUUUUGUUGGGGUGAUAGUAAAAUUUGUAAAACUUUUAUUUUUAAUAAAACAUUGAUUUAUGAUUUAUUGAUCCAUUAAUAAUGAUUAUAAAAAUAAGUUACUUUAGGGAUAACAGCGUAAUUUUUUUGGAGAGUUCUUAUCGAUAAAAAAGUUUGCGACCUCGAUGUUGGAUUAAGAAAUAUAUUUAGGUGUAGUAGCUUAAAAUUUAAGUCUGUUCGACUUU
Molecule: ribosomal RNA, 1224 nt
Filed under: Gymnocarena mexicana
Lineage: Eukaryota; Metazoa; Arthropoda; Insecta; Diptera; Tephritidae
Description: partial 16S ribosomal RNA
Source: RNAcentral